CGCCUCUUGCAAAACUAAGGAAUAAGAGGUCCCGCCUGCCCUGUGACUAUAAGUUUAACGGCCGCGGUAUUUUGACCGUGCGAAGGUAGCGCAAUCACUUGUCUUUUAAAUGAAGACCUGUAUGAAUGGCACCACGAGGGCUUAGCUGUCUCCUUUUUCAGGUCAAUGAAAUUGAUCUCCCCGUGCAGAAGCGGGGAUAUAUACAUAAGACGAGAAGACCCUAUGGAGCUCUAGACGCCAAGACAGAUCAUGUUAAACACCCCUAGAUAAAGGGUUAAACCAAAUGAGCCCUGUCCUAAUGUCUUUGGUUGGGGCGACCGCGGGGAAACAUAAAACCCCCACGUGGAAUGGGAGUACCACCUCCUACAACUAAGAGCUCCCGCUCUAACAAACAGAAAUUCUGACCAAUAAGAUCCGGCAACGCCGAUCAACGGACCGAGUUACCCUAGGGAUAACAGCGCAAUCCCCUUUUAGAGCCCAUAUCGACAAGGGGGUUUACGACCUCGAUGUUGGAUCAGGACAUCCUAAUGGUGCAGCCGCUAUUAAGGGUUCGUUUGUUCAACGAUUAAAGUCCUACGUGAUCUGAGUUCAGACCGGAGAAAUCCAGGUCAGUUUCUAUCUAUGAUAUGAUCUUUUCUAGUACGAAAGGACCGAAAAGAAGAGGCCUAUACUUAAGGUACGCCUCACCCCCACCUAAUGAAAACAACUAAAAUAGGCAAAAGGGCAUACCCCUGUGCCUGAGAAAAUGGCAU
RNAcentral lists this ribosomal RNA (752 nucleotides) under Scombrops gilberti. RNAcentral describes it as "partial 16S rRNA". It matches the Rfam family "Bacterial large subunit ribosomal RNA", at positions 1817 to 2836 of the family's 2925-position model. Lineage: Eukaryota; Metazoa; Chordata; Actinopteri; Scombriformes; Scombropidae. The record is from RNAcentral.